GAUGAACGCUGGCGGCGUGCCUAAUACAUGCAAGUCGAACGCUGGAGAUCUAGCUUGCUAGAUCGAAGGAGUGGCGAACGGGUGAGUAAUACAUAAGCAACCUACCCACGAAGACUGGGAUAAUCUCUGGAAACGGGGACUAAUACCGGAUAGGUAAUCGGAAGGCAUCUUCUGGUUAUUAAAGGUUAAAAACACUGGUGGAUGGGCUUAUGGCGCAUUAGUUAGUUGGUGAGGUAACGGCCCACCAAGACGAUGAUGCGUAGCCGGCCUGAGAGGGUGAACGGCCACAUGGGGACUGGGACACGGCCCAGACUCCUACGGGAGGCAGCAGUAUGGAAUUUUCGGCAGUGGGGGCAACCCUGACCGAGCAACGCCGCGUGAGUGAAGACGGCCUUCGGGUUGUAAAGCUCUGUUGUAAGGGAAGAACGGUAGAUAGAGAAUAUCUAAGUGACGGUACCUUACCAGAAAGCCACGGCUAACUACGUG
This 486-nucleotide ribosomal RNA is filed under the name uncultured bacterium. Its description in RNAcentral is "partial 16S ribosomal RNA". It matches the Rfam family "Bacterial small subunit ribosomal RNA", at positions 28 to 507 of the family's 1533-position model. The record is from RNAcentral.